This 147-nucleotide non-coding RNA is filed under the name Gorilla gorilla gorilla (western lowland gorilla). The record is from Rfam by way of RNAcentral. Lineage: Eukaryota; Metazoa; Chordata; Mammalia; Primates; Hominidae.
GCUGGGCUUGGUGGCGCAUGCCUGUAAUCCCAGCUACUUGGGAGGCUGAGGCAGGGGAAUUGCUUGAACUCGGGAGGCAGAGGUUGCAGUGAGCUGAGAUCACGCCACUGCACUCCAGCCUGGUGACAAAGCAAGACUCUGUCUCAA